This is a long non-coding RNA of Haliotis rubra (blacklip abalone), 344 nucleotides long. RefSeq lists it as uncharacterized. NCBI's taxonomy places the organism in Eukaryota, Metazoa, Mollusca, Gastropoda, Lepetellida, Haliotidae. The transcript has 3 exons. The record is from RefSeq and is a predicted model, not a curated record.
UUGAAGUUUUCCCUGACGCAAGGUUGGUCAAGGUUGUCACGGUGCAAAAGUAAGGUACCGAGAGCGUUCUUGCAGCUUGAUCAGGCCUCUAGUAACUUGGAUUUGUCGACAACACAAGCAAUUUAGGCUUGUGAUGGUUUGACUGACAGCUAGCUGUUCAUCAUGCGAGUGCGACCCCAGACUGUGAAGCGACUUGUGUAUGCUGGUGUCGCUGCUGGUGGUGGGGUGUUCGUUGCGACAGUCGUCUACCCUAGACUUUCCACAAGGAAGAGCGAGUUGGGUCGGGUGUUGGCAGCAGAUGUCCAGCAGCAGUACAGCAAUGCUCCUCUGCCGCUACGGGAGGA